This is an RNA transcript of Rosa rugosa (rugosa rose), 1855 nucleotides long. It is a transcript of the gene named B3 domain-containing protein Os06g0194400-like, with no coding region annotated. The transcript is spliced from 5 exons. The record is from RefSeq and is a predicted model, not a curated record. NCBI's taxonomy places the organism in Eukaryota, Viridiplantae, Streptophyta, Magnoliopsida, Rosales, Rosaceae.
UUUAGUAUAACUAUCAAGUGACAUUAAGCGUUUCUGGAUUCUGUAUGCAAUAAAUAAGCUUAUAUUCAUUUCUUUCGACAUCAUGAGACUUGAUCAAUGAAUUAACUUGGGUCUUUGAAUGAUUCAUGUACCAAGGAUAGUUUACGCUCCGGAGGUAAAUCAAUAGUUAGAGUUUAACCGAUCCAUUUUCCGAGAUUGUGUGCAGAAUGAGACAGUAACCUUGAGUGAUGCCGAUAUUCAAUUUCGGAUUCACAACUGCCAAGUUCCAACUGAUGAGUCUUGUGAUUUCUAUCUAUCUAUGGCAACAAUGGUAAAAUUCGAAAGUUUUUGAAUUUGAACCCUUGGAUCAUCGGAUUUGACGCCUAUUAUUAUAAAACUAAUUGAUCAAAAUCAAAAGUAUACACAGAGUCCUUUUAGAUUUUCAAUUCCCACCUUUUUCUCUUCCCAUCCCAUCCUAGCAGUCUAGCACAGAAAGAACCACCACGGCACCCUAAAAAAAGUUCAGAACUUUUUGUUUGGUUCUCUGGAAAAAAAUAGCCAUGGCCAAGCCAAAAACAUCCUACGAGGAAACCCGAAAGCAGAGAAUGGAAGAAAACAGGAAGAGAAUGGAAGCCCUCAAUCUGCCUCAGCUGGCUCAGGCUUUUCGAACCUCUUCGUCUCCCAAACCUUCUCCGAUGAAGCGCCAGAAGCCUCGUAAAGUGGAGAAGCAGAUUGUUGAGGUGAGGAGAUCGGCUCGCGUUGCAAGGCAGCCUACCCCUGUUUACAGAGAAGUUGAGGUGAAGGUACCAAGAAGCUAUGGGAGGAUUUCUAAGCAUAGGGAUUUGUCCAACCGGGUAUAUGCUAGUGAGUACGCCAGAGCUGAGGCAACCGAGAAAGCUGAGGAAUUGGAGUCGCGCUUGGGAUCCGAUUACCCGACCUUUGUGAAACCAAUGCUCCAAUCCCAUGUCACUGGUGGAUUCUGGCUGGGUCUUCCACUCCCUUUCUGCAGGAAGUACCUCCCCAAACGCGAUGCAGCUGUGAUGCUGGUAGAUGAAGAAGGUGAGGAGUACCCGAUUGUAUACUUGGGGAACAAAAAUGGACUUAGCGGUGGAUGGAGAGGAUUUUCGAUUGCCCAUGAGUUGGUGGACGGUGAUGCAUUGGUAUUUCAGUUAAUCAAGCCUACGACAUUCAAGGUGAUGACUUUUAAACUCUGUUUUGAGGACUCAGGGAAUACAUGAGAAACUCGUAAAACCCCAUACUCGAGGACUGGUAUAUUAGAUUAUUAGAAUAGACUCAAUAGAGUCAAUAGACCAGGUAGUACUUACUUGACUAUAAUUAAGGACUACUUACAAGUUUCUUGAUUUAGUUCAAAUGUAAGAGGGUUCUCUUUUUAAGCAAUAACAUGCUGUGGAAGGGAAUGGUGAAAACAAAUAUAGUCUCUUCCGUAGAUACAGAUGAUUCCAACUAGAUAAGUGCCUUAUUCUUCUUUCUUGUCCAGCCUAAAUGUUUUGUCUUUAAUAUACUGUUUUUCUGUUACCAUUUCAGGUGUACAUCAUAAGGGUAGAAAGCUCUUAAAGAGUUCAACAAGCUCUAAACUCAUGAGUUAGGUCAGUUGAGGUUAAAAUGUUUUGGAAUGGACUAUCCAAGUGCAAUAGAUCUUCAUUUGCCCCUAGACAAUAUUUUUUGUAUACUAGAGAUCACCAAAUGUUAUUCGGGCUCUCUGUAAUUUUUCUGAUGAGGUGAUCAUAUUCGGAUGUCCAUGGUGUCUAAAGACAUGAACACAGAACUUCAUUUGGAUGCACUGUCUAGAGAAGAUCAUCUAUAGAUAUCAAUUUUAAUGUGUUUUGAGUUCAUUUUCUUUGAAUUUUAAUCUAUC